GAAACACACAAAAGAGAAAACUAGACAGACAAACACAGACGAUAAAGCCAACGUAGACUAAACAAGAGACACAAGUUGGUGAACAACUAACAGCUGGCCACCACUUCCACCCAGUGACUGUUUUUGUGGCUCUUUCCAGCCUGUCACACAGCCAGACUCCUCGGCCAUGGAGAAGUGCCCAGAAGUGAUGUGUGCUGUUCACAUCUGAUUACCACCAGGGCAAUAACGGAUAAUCCACCGCUACUAAUUUUCUACAACAUUUAUGCUAAUUGUUCCUGUUUGCUCUCUGACUUUG
Molecule: long non-coding RNA, 295 nt
Organism: Oreochromis aureus
Lineage: Eukaryota; Metazoa; Chordata; Actinopteri; Cichliformes; Cichlidae
Exons: 3
Source: RefSeq, a predicted model, not a curated record